UAUCAGGUGGUUCCAAGACCUUGAGAUUAGCUACUCACUAGAGCAAGAAAAGUUGAAGAGUUCAUUGGAAUUGGCCCAACAAAAAUGCACGAAAAUAGAGCUGCUGCUAAAAAUCAAGGAAGAAAAGCUAAAUUCAAUUAUUAUGGAAAUGAGAAGGAAUUGCACUCCUUUACAAGAGAAAUUGGUGAAGAAAGAAUCCGAAAAAAUAGUAUGUGAGAUUUUCAAGUCAAGUUAGUGGAAUUUCAAGGGUGAUUUUUCGGUGCAUAAUGCAAGGGAAAGGUUAAUACUUGAAAAUAAAGAUAUACUUAUUAUCUUUGAAAACACUAGGUGACAACAGAAUCUCUUCUUAAAGAGAGAGAGACUAGGCUUAACUUUGAGAUGUCACAGAGCACACUGCAGGAGGAUCUUGCACGGGCACAACGCGAGCUCCAAAGUGCAAAUCAGAAGAUAUCAUCUUUCAAUGACAUGUAUAAGCGGUUACAGGAUUACAUAACAAGCUUGUAGCAGUACAAUGGAAAACUGCAUUCAGAGCUUUGUACAGUUGGAAAUGAACUUAAGCGUGUAGAGAAAGAUAAAGCUAUUGUACUGGAGUCCCUUACCAUGUUAAAGGGUCAACUUACUUUGUCUAUGGGGGAGAAGCUCAGGAAAGAAUUGCACAAUAACAUUUUGGUAAUUCCCUGAGCCAAAGUUUACCAAUGAUGAAAAAAUAAGAUAAAAUCCACACCAUACCAAUUGGUGAAAAGUGCUGUGCUUGGUGACUUGCUCUAUGCUGAAGCUAUCCCUUUAAACGUUGGCAGAUCCAUUCGGGUUUUCAAUUUCUUUCUUUCAUCCUUUCUUCUAUUUAUUCUACACUCAUUGCUUACACAACAUGCAGAUCCAAUCAAGCUAGAACAAAACCAAACUCAUCACAUUAAAACGAAGAAACCUAUAUUAUUAACAUGUUUUGCCCCUAACUUUUCCAGUUUUAAAUCUUUUAGUAUAGAUGAUAUUUUCCAGUUUUUAUUUUUAUUAUUAUUUAUUAUUUUUGUAAUAAUAUAUAAUUAUGAAUUUUAUAUAAAGUUUGAUAGGUAUAUAUAUUUAUUGAAUGAAGUUUGCCUUUUAAACUUGGCUCCGUCCUUAAAUCACCAAUGAAGAGAAAUUUCAGUAUUCUUACUAUUCUAUUAUGUAUAAAAAAGGAAAUUUUUAAUAUUCAAUUUGAAUUUUAAACUUUUUAGGAGAGUAUUCAUGUUAAACUGUGAAUGUUCUUUCAUAUAGUUGUGAAAUAAAAUAUUACCUUUUGAUAGCAAACAAUACUGCCCAAGGGAUUUUAUCCUCUUUCUUCUUCAAAGAUUGGCGCCACCAACGUCACAUGGUUGCCCCCGCAUUCAUGGGAGACAAACUUAAGUUUUCCAGGUUUCAAUCAUUCCCUCGCUCUUGUCAUAUCUAUAUAACCUAAUUUCCAGUUUUCCAGGCACAUGCAGCUGCUGAUAAAGAGGCUGUAACAGGGAUAUAAGGAAUAUCUCUGGAACCACCUGGUACCUA
Molecule: long non-coding RNA, 1521 nt
Organism: Glycine soja
Lineage: Eukaryota; Viridiplantae; Streptophyta; Magnoliopsida; Fabales; Fabaceae
Exons: 6
Source: RefSeq, a predicted model, not a curated record